GGGAAGCAGACCUUCCAACAGCUUGUUUACUUCAUCUUCGUACUGUACUUCUUCCAACAUUCCAGUUUCUUUCUUCUCCUUACCCUCAGCAGUAGUAUCUGAGUUUGAUUGAGGCACAUCCAAUUCACUGGAAGAAGCAAAUUUAGAUGGAGUUCUAAUAAGUUUUCCAGCAGUGGCUGGUAAGGAAUCAGUAGAUAUCUCACUUUUCUUCAAAAUCCACCUGCUCAGUUGCACUGAGGGAACCUCAUAACUUACACCUCUAUAUAACGAUACAGAAGUGCCAGACCUCCAA
This 292-nucleotide unclassified non-coding RNA is filed under the name Hevea brasiliensis (rubber tree). Lineage: Eukaryota; Viridiplantae; Streptophyta; Magnoliopsida; Malpighiales; Euphorbiaceae. The record is from RNAcentral.